Molecule: ribosomal RNA, 253 nt
Filed under: uncultured bacterium
Lineage: Bacteria
Description: partial 16S ribosomal RNA
Rfam family: Bacterial small subunit ribosomal RNA
Source: RNAcentral
UACAGAGGGUGCAAGCGUUGUUCGGAAUUAUUGGGCGUAAAGCGCGUGUAGGCGGCUUUGCAAGUCGGGUGUGAAAGCCCUCGGCUCAACCGAGGAAUUGCGCUCAAUACUGCCGAGCUCGAGAGAGACAGAGGUAAGCGGAACUAAUGGUGGAGCGGUGAAAUGCGUUGAUAUCAUUAGGAACACCGGUGGCGAAGGCGGCUUACUGGGUCUUUUCUGACGCUGAGGCACGAAAGCGUGGGGAGCGAACAGG